This is a long non-coding RNA of Nymphaea colorata (pocket water lily), 1368 nucleotides long. RefSeq lists it as uncharacterized. The transcript has 2 exons. Lineage: Eukaryota; Viridiplantae; Streptophyta; Magnoliopsida; Nymphaeales; Nymphaeaceae. The record is from RefSeq and is a predicted model, not a curated record.
CUUAAAAAGGGCGUUUUGUUGAUGUAACAUGUCGCUUCAGGAACGCUCUGUCCUUGGAAAUGGAUGACAGCCACCAAACACUGGACAAGAAUAGUGGAGGACAAAGUGUUCGAGUGUCCUCUAAAAACUGUCCACACUUGUAACGUCCGAACCCGAUGCCAUACCCGUCUCUCGAAACUCGUUUUCUUCGACCGUUGGUCGAAAGUAACUCUCUUCGAUCAAACGCUCUCGCUCUCACUCUCUCUUGAUCACAGGCUAUACUCUCACGCAGGAUGCCAGUAAUUGCUAAGACUCCACGUCGACUUUCACCUUCUGCUCUCCUCUCGUCCACCUUCUGCCAUAGACAAUGUAUGCAUCUUUUUCUUCGGUGUCAAUCAUUUAUACAUUUUCAUGCCUGUGUAAAUCAUGUAUGCUGUUUACCUGGGUACAGUUGAAGCACACCAAGUGUUUGUAAAAUUAUCCUUAUAAGUGAUUCGUCAUUGCUUACGGAAAAAUAAUGCCAUCCAAUGAGCUAAAAGAUUCUUGUUUAUGGCGAUUAGCGGUAAAUUACUUGUCCUUGAUCGCAUUAAAAGGUUUGGUGUACAAUUAGCUAAUUGUUGCCCAUUAUGUGAGGUUGCUGAGGAAUCCGUUGAUCAAAUGUGUUUUGAGAUGCACAGUAGCAGAGGAGGUUUACGGGAUGGAAGUUUAAUAUCUUCAUCAGAUUUGAACAGUCUGUGAAAGAGUUAUUUUUUAUGGCCUGACGCAUGUGUUUUCCCAUGGUGGUGUACUGGUUUGGUCAUUAUGGAAGACAAAGAAACAAUGUGCUCCAUUACAGUAAGCCAGUGAAGAUCUGUCAUUUUCAAAGGCUUUUAUGGGAAGAUAUUACUCACCUUUCUGCUAAUGCAAAAUGGGGAGCUAAGUACAAACCCAAGAUUCUUUUCUGGCUUUCUCAUUGCAUCAGGCCUGAUCCAUGGCUUUCGUUUAACAGUUAGGAGGUGGUAGUUCAUUCCAUUUGUGUUUGGGAGGGGAAAAGUAGGAGAAUAGCCUACUGGGCGAAGGUGAACAGUCUGAAUGAAGUGUUUGUUGGACUUUGCCGUGUGCAGGAAAAUCAUAAAUGGGAGGCAAGGGAAUUGCUGGUUAGCCUGCUCAGUGACGUAUAGGCUGCCAAUGGGAGAUUCGCCAUUGCUGCAGCUUACAUAAUUUGGAGAAACUCAGCGAUUAUAUAUAGAUUUUGGGCCAUUUAUAUAUGUAGAGAGUGGAGUCAGCUUCCUUUGCUCAUACGUUAUUUUUUCGUGUUUUGUCAGGCGUUUUAUUUUAUUUAUAUGUGGAUUUUAUGUAGUAUCUAUGUUUAGGGAGAAAAAGAAAAACAAAAGAAAAAUAUAAAAAGCA